Long non-coding RNA from Jatropha curcas, 2808 nucleotides. RefSeq lists it as uncharacterized. The record is from RefSeq and is a predicted model, not a curated record. NCBI's taxonomy places the organism in Eukaryota, Viridiplantae, Streptophyta, Magnoliopsida, Malpighiales, Euphorbiaceae.
CUGUUCAUAGAAAAGUGUUUUGCCCUUUUAACCAUUCCUUUUUAAUGUUAUUCCUAUUUUGCCCUUUUCUCCUCUCGAAACUUCUUCUCCUUCGACGGUCCAAAAUCCGCCGGCUUCAAUCUCAUCUUCUUCGCGAACUUCAUUUUGGUUAUAUGCUUCUUCGCCGAUUUUAUUUAUGCACUGUGAUCCUAAUUAUUCCUCUUCUCUUCUCCUCUUUGUAACAUCUUUUCUUCUGUAUUCCACUUAAUUACUAAUAUAGGGUUUCUUCUCUUCCUUAAUUGCCAAUUUUUCAAGAAAUCUGCAUGUUUUAUAAUUGAUCGGUAAUAGUUAGUAUCCUAUUCUGAACUAUUCUUCUCAUUUUCUCUAUCUCUGUUUUAUUAUUUGAUUGUGAUUUGAGUUGGUAUGGUUCCUAUAAGUAGCAAUCCCUAAUUCUGAAAGCAUUGUUGCUGAGUUGAAAUUCAAAGUAUCGACGAUGAUCCUUCAGAAAUUGAGGCAAUGACAGUCCAAGAACUCAGAACAACAUUGAGGCUGCAUUAAUGGGGAAGAAGCAAGAAUGUGGUUAUACAUUCUUCUACUUUUAUUUUAUGACAUUUAGAUUCUUUUCUCAGACAUGCAGUGGUGCAAAAACUCAAAAGCGCUUGAAGCUCCGGAAAAACUCAAAGGCUCUGGUAUCAGUGGUAUGUCUGGUUUUCUGGUGUUUUAUCAACUUGAUGUUACUAACAGUAAAGUUUUCUGUUCUGGAAGCUUUAGCAGUAGCCACCUGUGUACUUAUGGUGGCUGGCUUUUUUGCGAGUUCAAAUGGAGAUCAGUCAGCAUGGUCUCUUAGAGAAGAGAGAUGUAAGAGACAAAAGCAUAUAUUUUUAGAAAAAUGAAAAAUAGGUAAAAAUGGGAAGGAUGUGUUCUACUUGAAUGCUUAUAUUAUCACUUGAAUUUUUUUCUGAUAUUUGUCCAAUAUAACAUUAGUUAGCUAAAAAAAAAAAAAAAGAAAAGAAAAGGCAAUACGAAGCCGCAGCAAAGUGCGGCCAUGUUUGCAUGUAAUCUCUAAAAUUUAAACCCUAAACCCUAAUAAAAUAUUUAAAACCUAAAUCCUAAAUCUUAAGACCCUAAAACUAUUCUAAACUAUUAACUUCAUUAUUUUUAAGGGACUUACUGUCACGUCAUGUAAAAUUUUUCCCUCCCCUGUUCAAAAACGGUGAACCUCAACUACAAAUUUCAACACAAGAAAUCCAUAAGAAACAUUUGCACAACCUAUGGCCUCCAAUUAGUAUAAGCAAUCCUUCAUUUACUAUAAUGGACAUGUAAACUCAGUCCUUACCUACACGUAUACAUAUACAUAUACAUAUACAUAUAUCGGUCUUAAUUUUAUUAUUCUAGAUAUUUCUAAAAUAAAUUUAAUUAGAAAGUUUUAUAUAAUUAAUUAUUCAAUUCAUCUGAACUCUAAAGAUUUUUUAUUAUUUGUUUAUAAAUUCAUAGAAAGAAGCUUUGACAGUUACUUCUUCAAAUAAUAAUUAAAAUGUAAAUUAUUAUCUAAAACAAAUGAAUAUCAAUAGAGACUAAAAUAUAUAGCAUGAAAUAGUUGAAGCUGCAUUAAAAAGAAAAUUAUGAAAUUAUAAAAUAUUCUUCCUAGUCUUAUAUAUGUUUAGAUUAGAAAAUUAAUUAGCAGGCAAUCUUUUCGUGUAAUUUCUAGUCUUAAAGCAGAAAAAAAAAAUCUUCUUGAAGAAAAAAAAGUUUAGAUGCUUAGGUCUCUACGAGAGGAUUAAGUACUGCUCCAGUGAAAAAUAUAAGUCCAGAUACUUCUUCCUUAAUCAUGAAUAGAAAGGGAUGGUCUGCCAAGAAACUUGGAAGUGGAGCCACCGGUAGAUGACGCGGCGAACAUGUGAAUGUAAGACCCAAGAUUGCGCAAGCUGCAGCCUCUGUACCUUUCUCAUUUACUUCAAUUUUUGAUUUAUGAAACACUUUAGAGACAUAAACAUUGUUGCUAUCAGCAGAAUAAACCAUCAUUUUUAAAUUGGCUGUCACCUGAUCAAAAGGCGAAGUUAAUCACAGCUUUUUCAUGACUUUUGAAGUUUCAAAGUUGUAUGAGAAAUUAAACUUUGGGAUGCUCAUCUCAGAAAGUUGUACUUCCUCAAGGGCUAAAUCUUCAUGUAACAAUCUAGGAUUAGAAUUCAUCUUUUCUAUUAUUUCUUGCAAUCCAUUGUUGCUAUGAGGAAGAAAGAUAUGCAUAAAAAAUCGCUUAUUAUGCUGUCCAAUAAGAUAUGGUAAUUUGAUAACUUUGAAAUCCUCGAAAGAUCCAUAUAAGUGUCUUACAGUGAGUCCACUAAUAAGGGGAACUUUUACGGUCCUCCCAUUAAGAAGAUGAAAGUCUCUGGCUCUAGUUCUUGAAGUAUCAAAAGAAUGAAACCAAGUUCCUUUGAAGUAGAGUGCAAUUGCAAGUGCAAUAGCUGUAUCUUUGUUAAGACAUCCCGUUGAAAGAAAGUUCUAUAUCAGACCUUUGGUUGCGUUUUCCGCCCACAGUUCACUUCCUGUACCACUUGCUCGGCCUGCAAACGAAGUAUUGAUUUCAAUUCCGAGUAUUUCUAUAAUCCAAGAGUAUAAGCAGGUGUAAAUCAAUGUCAAGAUGAUUGCAAGUAACCAUGCUUGAGGAGGCCAAGUUGUUGAAGUUCAUGUGUUAGGUGGAGCGGCCGAUAAACGCAAGGAAAAUUUGGAGAGGCUGAGUUUAUUGAAGUUCAAAGGGAGCGUCCACCAUAUGACUUUCUUUAAUUGUCCUCUAUUUUUUUUUAUCAACAAAUAAAUUUAUUUAACUCAUAA